RNAcentral lists this transfer RNA (66 nucleotides) under Salmo salar (Atlantic salmon). It matches the Rfam family "tRNA". From Rfam's summary of the family: Transfer RNA (tRNA) molecules are approximately 80 nucleotides in length. Their secondary structure includes four short double-helical elements and three loops (D, anti-codon, and T loops). Further hydrogen bonds mediate the characteristic L-shaped molecular structure. tRNAs have two regions of fundamental functional importance: the anti-codon, which is responsible for specific mRNA codon recognition, and the 3' end, to which the tRNAs corresponding amino acid is attached (by aminoacyl-tRNA synthetases). tRNAs cope with the degeneracy of the genetic code in two manners: having more than one tRNA (with a specific anti-codon) for a particular amino acid; and 'wobble' base-pairing, i.e. permitting non-standard base-pairing at the 3rd anti-codon position. Lineage: Eukaryota; Metazoa; Chordata; Actinopteri; Salmoniformes; Salmonidae. The record is from Rfam by way of RNAcentral.
CCCCGUGUGGCUCAGUUGGUAGAGCGUGGUACUUGCAACGCCAGGGUUGUUCGAUUCCCACGGGGG